AUAGUUUAAUUCUAGCUAAAAUUUUAGUACUUUCUUGGUUCUAUAUGCUUACUUUAUAAAGAAAUAAAUUGAAUGUGAAUAGUAUGUGUAUAACAUAUGCAUGGCAGUAGAUAAACUUAUUUAUGCGUAACUACGUGAAAUUGUUGAAGAUUGGAUAAUUUAGCCAAUAUUGUGCCAGCAGCAGCGGUUAGACAAUAGAAACCUUAAACAUAAAAAUUUUAUUAUGGUAAUAUAGAAAAAAAGUUGAGGUAAAAUUCAAUAUAGUUGAGCUUAUUUUACUAAUCUAAAGAUCUAAAUCAAAACAAGGAUUAGAUACCCUUUUAUUUUUAUUCAAUAUAUAAAUUGGGGACUACGAGCUAAGCUUAAAAACCAAAGAAUAUGGCGGUAUUUCAUUUAAUCAGGGUGACAUGUAUCUUAAUCUGACAACCCACGAUUUUAAUUCCUAAUUUUGAACUACAGUAUGUGUACUGCCGUUAUAACAUAAUCCUAUAGGGUUGUGUAAGAGAUAUAAAUCAUUAUAUAGAUAGUCAGGUCCAAGCACAGCUAACAAUUAGGUGAGAAUGUGUUACAUUUAUUUAAACAUUCAGUUUGUUUAUUUAAAUAUAAACAUAAAGAAGAACUUGAUAGUAAUUGUGUUAAUUAAGCUCAAUGAAAUUAAUUAGAAAUAUGCACAAAUCGCCCGUCACUCCUUUAUAAAGGAUAAGUCGUAACAUAGUAGAUGUAAUGGAAAUUGCAUCUAU
Molecule: non-coding RNA, 740 nt
Filed under: Hirudo nipponia
Lineage: Eukaryota; Metazoa; Annelida; Clitellata; Hirudinida; Hirudinidae
Source: RNAcentral